UACGUAGGUGGCAAGCGUUGUCCGGAAUUAUUGGGCGUAAAGCGCGCGCAGGCGGUCGUCUAAGCCUACCGUGAAAGCCCCCGGCUCAACCGGGGAGGGUCGGUGGGGACUGGGCGACUUGAGGACGGCAGGGGCUGGUGGAAUCCCCGGUGUAGUGGUGAAAUGCGUAGAGAUCGGGGGGAACACCCGUGGCGAAGGCGGCCAGCUGGGCCGGUCCUGACGCUGAGGCGCGAAGGCGUGGGGAGCGAACGGG
This 253-nucleotide ribosomal RNA is filed under the name uncultured bacterium. RNAcentral describes it as "partial 16S ribosomal RNA". It matches the Rfam family "Bacterial small subunit ribosomal RNA", at positions 524 to 776 of the family's 1533-position model. The record is from RNAcentral.